CCCCCUGUAGCUCAGUGGCUGAGCAUCUGCUUUGCAUGCAGAAGGUCCCUGGUUCGAUUCCCGGCAUCUCUGUUUAGGGCUGGG
This is a non-coding RNA of Podarcis lilfordi (Lilford's wall lizard), 84 nucleotides long. The record is from the annotation of a GenBank genome assembly. Lineage: Eukaryota; Metazoa; Chordata; Lepidosauria; Squamata; Lacertidae.